AUAGCGUAUAUUAAAGUUGUUGCAGUUAAAAAGCUCGUAGUUGAAUUUUAGGCCUGGUUGGACGGUCUGCUCUAGGGUUUGUACUGUCCUGACUGGGUCUUACCUUCUGGUGAGCUGUCGUAUUGUUUACUCAGUGCGGCAGGGAACCAGGACUUUUACUUUGAAAAAAUUAGAGUGUUUAAAGCAGGCAUUCGCUUGAAUACAUUAGCAUGGAAUAAUAGAAUAGGACUUUGGUUCUAUUUUGUUGGUUUCUAGGACCGAAGUAAUGAUUAAUAGGGAUAGUUGGGGGCAUUAGUAUUUAAUUGUCAGAGGUGAAAUUCUUGGAUUUAUUAAAGACUAACUUCUG
RNAcentral lists this ribosomal RNA (346 nucleotides) under uncultured eukaryote. Its description in RNAcentral is "SSU rRNA". It matches the Rfam family "Eukaryotic small subunit ribosomal RNA", at positions 594 to 945 of the family's 1831-position model. The record is from RNAcentral.